UACGUAGGGGGCAAGCGUUGUCCGGAAUCAUUGGGCGUAAAGAGCGUGUAGGCGGCCUGGUAAGUCCGCUGUGAAAGUCCAGGGCUCAACCCUGGAAUGCCGGUGGAAACUGUCAGGCUCGAGUCCGGAAGAGGCGAGUGGAAUUCCUGGUGUAGCGGUGAAUGCGCAGAUAUCAGGAGGAACACCAAUGGCGAAGGCAGCUCGCUGGGACGGUACUGACGCUGAGACGCGAAAGCGUGGGGAGCAAACAGG
RNAcentral lists this ribosomal RNA (252 nucleotides) under uncultured bacterium. RNAcentral's name for it is "partial 16S ribosomal RNA". It matches the Rfam family "Bacterial small subunit ribosomal RNA", at positions 524 to 776 of the family's 1533-position model. The record is from RNAcentral.